Molecule: non-coding RNA, 63 nt
Filed under: Lotharella globosa
Lineage: Eukaryota; Cercozoa; Chlorarachniophyceae
Source: RNAcentral
UUCCGCUCGAGACACUGGCUGAACAAGAACCCGUGUGGGCUCUUCUGUGCAAGCGCCACGCAA